Molecule: long non-coding RNA, 263 nt
Organism: Syngnathus acus (greater pipefish)
Lineage: Eukaryota; Metazoa; Chordata; Actinopteri; Syngnathiformes; Syngnathidae
Exons: 2
Source: RefSeq, a predicted model, not a curated record
CUCGGAGCAGGAUCAUUUGAAGAAAACAAACUAACAGGCUCGGUUUACCGUUCCCAGAGAGUUCCCUGAUGACUGCGUAUCUGUGUUCGACAAAGCGACAUGUAGUAAAUACAGCGUUCAUAGGAGAGAUGACCCAUCUAUUGAAUGAUAAACGAUAAAAAAAAAAUGGCUCAUACAUGUAAUACAAUCAUUUUGCAUGGAAGAAGCAGAUGUGAUGUAUUUUCGCAAGGUCAUGGAAAUGAAUAAAAAUGCAGCAGAUUUUG